Molecule: ribosomal RNA, 510 nt
Filed under: uncultured bacterium
Lineage: Bacteria
Description: bacterial SSU rRNA
Rfam family: Bacterial small subunit ribosomal RNA
Source: RNAcentral
CGACCUGGCGGCAUGCCUAUAAUGCAAGUCGAGCGAAUGACGAAGAAGCUUGCUUCUUCUGAUUUAGCGGCGGACGGGUGAGUAACACGUGGGCAACCUGCCCUGUAGAUUGGGAUAACUCCGGGAAACCGGGGCUAAUACCGAAUAAUCCAUUUCCUCUCAUGGGGAGAUGUUAAAAGACGGCAUCUCGCUGUCACUACAGGAUGGGCCCGCGGCGCAUUAGCUAGUUGGUGAGGUAACGGCUCACCAAGGCGACGAUGCGUAGCCGACCUGAGAGGGUGAUCGGCCACACUGGGACUGAGACACGGCCCAGACUCCUACGGGAGGCAGCAGUAGGGAAUCUUCCACAAUGGACGAAAGUCUGAUGGAGCAAUGCCGCGUGAGUGAAGAAGGUUUUCGGAUCGUAAAACUCUGUUGUGAGGGAAGAACAAGUACGAGAGUAACUGCUCGUACCUUGACGGUACCUCAUUAGAAAGCCACGGCUAACUACGUGCCAGCAGCCGCGGUAAU